RNAcentral lists this ribosomal RNA (301 nucleotides) under uncultured bacterium. Its description in RNAcentral is "partial 16S ribosomal RNA". It matches the Rfam family "Bacterial small subunit ribosomal RNA", at positions 509 to 807 of the family's 1533-position model. The record is from RNAcentral.
CAGCCGCCGCGGUAAUACGAAGGGUGCAAGCGUUACUCGGAAUUACUGGGCGUAAAGCGUGCGUAGGUGGUGGUUUAAGUCCGUUGUGAAAGCCCUGGGCUCAACCUGGGAAUUGCAGUGGAUACUGGGUCACUAGAGUGUGGUAGAGGAUAGUGGAAUUUCCGGUGUAGCAGUGAAAUGCGUAGAGAUCGGAAAGAACACCAACGGCGAAAGCACUCUGCUGGGCCGACACUGACACUGAGAGACGAAAGCUAGGGGAGCAAAUGGGAUUAGAUACCCCCGUAGUCCCUGUCUCUUAUAC